CUCUUCUGUUUUGUAGAGUGAUAUUUACAGUGAUUGCAGAUAUAAACUUAGACUUCAGUGAUUUAUAAUGACUAAACAACCACUUUUUCAGCAAUAGGAUUUAUAAUGUGAUACUCUUGUAAUGUCAACAAGUUGUACAUAACUACACUAAAAGCUUGAAAAUCUUAAUAAUCUUAUAAAAUGUAUCUUCUCUUUAUAAAUGUCAUGUCAUACAUAGUUUAAAAUGAGUCACCUACAGUGAGCGCUCACAGUGGAGAAGAGUCUAGCACAGCACUAAACGGCAAACCGGAAGCAAAAACUCCCACAGAGAGAGCUUGCAGUGGAGGUGAAUCUGGCACAGGACUAAACGGCAAACCAGGAACAAAAACAAACAGUGAUCGGUUGCUAACAG
Non-coding RNA from Pimephales promelas (fathead minnow), 391 nucleotides. NCBI's taxonomy places the organism in Eukaryota, Metazoa, Chordata, Actinopteri, Cypriniformes, Leuciscidae. The record is from RefSeq and is a predicted model, not a curated record.